RNAcentral lists this ribosomal RNA (433 nucleotides) under uncultured bacterium. RNAcentral describes it as "partial 16S ribosomal RNA". It matches the Rfam family "Bacterial small subunit ribosomal RNA", at positions 29 to 507 of the family's 1533-position model. The record is from RNAcentral.
AGCGAACGCUGGCGGCAGGCCUAACACAUGCGAGUCGAACGAACUCUUCGGAGUUAGUGGCGGACGGGUGAGUAACACGUGGGAACGUGCCUUUUGGUUCGGAAUAACUCAGGGAAACUUGUGCUAAUACCGAAUGUGCCCUUCGGGGGAAAGAUUUAUCGCCAUUAGAGCGGCCCGCGUCUGAUUAGCUAGUUGGUGAGGUAACGGCUCACCAAGGCGACGAUCAGUAGCUGGUCUGAGAGGAUGACCAGCCACACUGGGGCUGAGACACGGCCCAGACUCCUACGGGAGGCAGCAGUGGGGAAUCUUGCGCAAUGGGCGAAAGCCUGACGCAGCCAUGCCGCGUGAAUGAUGAAGGUCUUAGGAUUGUAAAAUUCUUUCACCGGGGACGAUAAUGACGGUACCCGGAGAAGAAGCCCCGGCUAACUUCGUG